ACCAUAACCGCUGUAUAAAUAUUUUUGCUUUUAUAACACAUGGGGCGAUCCAACCCAAAGGAUCGAAAAGUCGUGCGACGUCUGAUACAAUCUUCCUUUUUGUUACAGGAGCAGAUACAGGAGGCAGCGUGACUGAGUACUGAAACUCAUCCUUCGUUUUAUUCCAGGACGCGUCGAAGACCACCCGGACCUUGCUAGUUGACUUGUCCUCCCUGAUGACAGCGUGGUGGGGUAAAUACACGCACUGUUUUUCACUUUCUCUAGCCGCAGGAACUAACAUCAUGUGGUCCAACUGCUGGAUUCUCAUCACGAAAUGGUAAUUUAACCACAUAUCUGCCAAGGUUGUCCCGUGUAGUCGUUGCUGAAAAGAUGUCUUCACAUCGCUGCUCUUCGGUCGUCAACAUCUUUUUUGAGGUUAAUAAA
Cydia pomonella (codling moth) is the source of this 423-nucleotide long non-coding RNA. RefSeq lists it as uncharacterized. The record is from RefSeq and is a predicted model, not a curated record. The transcript is spliced from 3 exons. Lineage: Eukaryota; Metazoa; Arthropoda; Insecta; Lepidoptera; Tortricidae.